Molecule: long non-coding RNA, 565 nt
Organism: Alligator mississippiensis (American alligator)
Lineage: Eukaryota; Metazoa; Chordata; Crocodylia; Alligatoridae
Exons: 4
Source: RefSeq, a predicted model, not a curated record
UACCGCUUUUAAGUAUGGUCUCAUAUUACAGUGCAAAACUGAAUUUAAAAGUACCCUAUUUGCUGUAUAACUACAUUGUAAACACACCGUUUUGCAAGAGCUGUGGAGGAUUACGGGACCUACUUACACAUCCAAUGUGUAAUCCUUAAACUAAAAUCUGUGAUAUAGGACAUGCAGCCAAGGUCAAGGAUUGAAUGAGCCUAGGGUCUUUACUACAAUCUAUGCUUUCAACACAAGAUGAAGAAAUGGCAACUACAAAGUGUACAAAGUGAAGGGGAUCGCUUGACCACUGUUCCAGUUCUUGUCUGCCUCCAGUAUGAGGAAUGGUAAGAAGGAAGUCUCAACUACAGCCACAUCAUGGUAUUAUAUCUGUUUCACCUCUGAUGCAACACCUGCAGCGGAGACCCAACUGGUUUGGGAGAAGCGUGUGUGUUGCGCUAUCUGGAAUCCCAUCAUCGCUACCCCGUGUUCUUUACAGUUGUCCUAAACUGUUGUCUACUUUUUCAUACUUGCAUCAUGAGCCCUUUUUGUUAGUAACCUUCAGCAAUAAAUGACCACAAAGGGA